UGGGGAAUCUUGCGCAAUGGGCGAAAGCCUGACGCAGCAACGCCGCGUGAGUGAUGAAGGCCUUCGGGUUGUAAAGCUCUUUCGGCUGGGAUAAAGGGAAACUGAUAGUACCAGAAGAAGAAGCACCGGCUAACUUCGUGCCAGCAGCCGCGGUAAUACGAAGGGUGCAAGCGUUGUUCGGAAUGAUUGGGCGUAAAGGGUUCGUAGGCGGGACUUUAAGUUGGAUGUGAAAUGCCAGGGCUUAACCCUGAACGUGCAUUCAAAACUGAAGUUCUUGAGUAAAGGAGAGGGACAGGGAAUUGCUGGUGUAGGAGUGACAUCCGUAGAGAUCAGCAGGAACACCAGAAGCGAAGGCGCUGUCCUGGCCUUAUACUGACGCUGAGGAACGAAAGCGUGGGGAGCAAACAGG
RNAcentral lists this ribosomal RNA (409 nucleotides) under uncultured bacterium. RNAcentral's name for it is "bacterial SSU rRNA". It matches the Rfam family "Bacterial small subunit ribosomal RNA", at positions 355 to 776 of the family's 1533-position model. The record is from RNAcentral.